This 387-nucleotide RNase P RNA is filed under the name Gemmatimonadota bacterium. Its description in RNAcentral is "Gemmatimonadetes bacterium (bioreactor metagenome) RNase P RNA component class A". It matches the Rfam family "Bacterial RNase P class A". Rfam says of the family: Ribonuclease P (RNase P) is a ubiquitous endoribonuclease, found in archaea, bacteria and eukarya as well as chloroplasts and mitochondria. Its best characterised activity is the generation of mature 5'-ends of tRNAs by cleaving the 5'-leader elements of precursor-tRNAs. RNAcentral also lists the same sequence under 1 other name. The record is from RNAcentral. Lineage: Bacteria; Pseudomonadati; Gemmatimonadota.
GGGGUAGGACGGGAUGGUCGCGGACCGGCUUUCGGGCUGGUUCGAGGAAAGUCCGAGCUCCAACGGGUAGACUGCCAGGUAACGCCUGGGCGCCGAAAGGCGACGGACAGGGCCACAGAAAACACACCGCCUCCGGCGCAAGUCGGCGGUAAGGGUGAAAAGGUGGGGUAAGAGCCCACCGCGCCGCCGGUAACGGUGGUGGCACGGCAACCCCCAGUCGGAGCAAGGCCAAAUAAGCGGCGAGGUGCGGCCCGCACCGACCCCUCCUUCGGGAGUGAGCCGCGGGUAGGCUGCUCGAGGCGACUGGCGACAGUCGUCCCAGAGAGAUGACCAUCCGGACCGUUUCGGCGGUCCGAACAGAACUCGGCUUACGGUCCCACCCACCCC